Molecule: ribosomal RNA, 256 nt
Filed under: uncultured bacterium
Lineage: Bacteria
Description: partial 16S ribosomal RNA
Rfam family: Bacterial small subunit ribosomal RNA
Source: RNAcentral
UACGUAGGUGGCAAGCGUUGUCCGGAUUUAUUGGGCGUAAAGGGCGCGCAGGUGGUGUGCUAAGUCUGCCGUGAAAUCUCCCGGCUCAACUGGGAGGCUGCGGUGGAGACUGGCACGCUUGAGGUACCUAGAGGUCGGUGGAAUUCCCGGUGUAGUGGUGAAAUGCGUAGAGAUCGGGAGGAACACCAGUGGCGAAGGCGGCCGGCCUGGGGGUGACCUGACGCUGAGGCGCGAAAGCGGUGGGGAGCGAACCGGG